This 397-nucleotide ribosomal RNA is filed under the name uncultured bacterium. RNAcentral describes it as "partial 16S ribosomal RNA". It matches the Rfam family "Bacterial small subunit ribosomal RNA", at positions 523 to 918 of the family's 1533-position model. The record is from RNAcentral.
GUACGUAGGGGGCGAGCGUUGUCCGGAAUGAUUGGGCGUAAAGGGCGCGUAGGCGGCCUGUUAAGUCUGGAGUGAAAGUCCUGUUUUCAAGAUGGGAAUUGCUUUGGAUACUGAUGGGCUUGAGUGCAGGAGAGGUUAUCGGAAUUCCCGGUGUAGCGGUGAAAUGCGUAGAGAUCGGGAGGAACACCAGUGGCGAAGGCGGGUAACUGGACUGCAACUGACGCUGAGGCGCGAAAGCGUGGGUAGCAAACAGGAUUAGAUACCCUGGUAGUCCACGCUGUAAACGAUGGAUACUAGGUGUAGGAGGUAUCGACCCCUUCUGUGCCGGAGUUAACACAAUAAGUAUCCCACCUGGGGAGUACGGCCGCAAGGCUGAAACUCAAAGGAAUUGACGGGG